This 1158-nucleotide ribosomal RNA is filed under the name Triticum aestivum (bread wheat). RNAcentral's name for it is "partial small subunit ribosomal RNA". Lineage: Eukaryota; Viridiplantae; Streptophyta; Magnoliopsida; Poales; Poaceae. The record is from RNAcentral.
AUGCCGACGACCAUGGCCAAGGCCGCAAGGGCAGGAGCGGCGCCUCUUCGCCACGACGGCAGCCUUCCGGAGGAGAUCGUCGUCUGGGAGAUCCUAGUUCGCCUCGACCCCAAAUCCCUCCUCCGUUGCCGCGUCGUCCGUCUGCGCCAUGCCACCUCCACCCGUGCCUUCCUGCUUGCCCACCAUGCCCACCAGCCAGCCCUCCCCAUUGCGUUAGACGAAGAAUACAUCCUCACCGCCGACCGCCUUGCCGCUGCCAAGCUCCACACUGUCGCCCAUCUUGACAAGGCCUUCAAUCCAGAGGCUUCCUGCGAUGGCCUUCUCGUCCUCUCCAGGUACAACAACAUGACUGACACCAUUGAUUUCUCAGUUUGUAACCUGGCCACUCGUCAAUUUGCUCCCCUUCAACAACUACAUGAACUGGGCUUGCGGUUAUUGGGGAUGUACUCGCAUCAACCUACUGGCGAGUAUCGAUUGUUACUUGAACGCGAUAGCUACAAUGAAACGCCUGAAGACCAACUUGGCUACUAUGUCUUUGCAUUGGGCUCUCACCAGUCGCCAAGGUACAUCGGGUGGCAGGAGUCAACAUCACAAUGCUUCAGUUUACCUGUCUUGGUAUGCGAUAGCCUGCAUUGGUACCCAGUCUAUUAUGUGAGUGAAAGCAGCUACGUACGGCUUCAGAGUGAAAGCAAAGCGAUAAUAGUAUUCGACACCAUAGCUGAGUCGUUCCGGCCAAUGCAUGCUCCAAUUGUUUCCAGCAACUCAUAUGCCUUUGAGAUGGAUGGUACACUCGGCAUAUAUAGCCGUAACUAUGCCAAAACAACUAUUGAUAUAUGGGUAUUGCAAAACUACGAAAGCGAGGUUUGGGACUUCAAGUAUCGAAUCAAAUUGCCAGUUGCAGAAAUACGGGGGAAGUUUGAGGCCUUUGAUGACCAUUGGAAUGUGGAGGUUGUUUCAGCGGACGGUGAUGUGCUCUUGCUAGUCAAUUCUGGUCGGUGUCUGUCUUAUGUCGACAAUGAUGGUAAGCUGAUUGACAGUUUUGAUCAUGGUCGCAAAUACUUCUUUUUGUCUAAAUAUCGGCUCAAGCAAAGUCUUGUCCAGCAUACCUUCUUUCAAGCUUUAGAAAGUUCUGCUGUGAACACUUCACCAUUCAUCUGA